Molecule: ribosomal RNA, 450 nt
Filed under: uncultured bacterium
Lineage: Bacteria
Description: partial 16S ribosomal RNA
Rfam family: Bacterial small subunit ribosomal RNA
Source: RNAcentral
CCUACGGGGGGCUGCAGUAAGGAAUAUUGGACAAUGGCGGAGACGCUGAUCCAGCUAUCCCGCGUGCAGGAUGACGGCCCUACGGGUUGUAAACUGCUUUAGACUGGGGCGAAAAAGUGGGAUUUAUCCUACAUUGACGGUACCAGUAAAAUAAGCACCGGCUAACUCCGUGCCAGCAGCCGCGGUAAUCCGGAGGGUGCAAGCGUUAUCCGGAAUCACUGGGUAUAAGGGGUGUGUAUACGGCAGGAUGGAAAGGGCAUGGAUCAACGAUGGGAUUGCUUUUGAUACUGGCGAGCUUGGAUUAGGACGAGGUUGGCGGAAUGUGGCAAGUAGCGGUGAAAUGCAUAGAUAUGCCAUAGAAUACCGAUUGCGAAGGCAGCUGACUAGACCUAUAUUGACGCUGAGGCACGAAAGCGUGGGGAGCGAACAGGAUUAGAUACCCUAGUAGUC